RNAcentral lists this ribosomal RNA (175 nucleotides) under Escherichia fergusonii. RNAcentral's name for it is "partial 16S ribosomal RNA". It matches the Rfam family "Bacterial small subunit ribosomal RNA", at positions 304 to 473 of the family's 1533-position model. Lineage: Bacteria; Pseudomonadati; Pseudomonadota; Gammaproteobacteria; Enterobacterales; Enterobacteriaceae. The record is from RNAcentral.
CCAGCCACACUGGAACUGAGACACGGUCCAGACUCCUACGGGAGGCAGCAGUGGGGAAUAUUGCACAAUGGGCGCAAGCCUGAUGCAGCCAUGCCGCGUGUAUGAAGAAGGCCUUCGGGUUGUAAAGUACUUUCAGCGGGGAGGAAGGGAGUAAAGUUAAUACCUUGCUCAUGAC